This is a small nucleolar RNA of Monodelphis domestica (gray short-tailed opossum), 69 nucleotides long. Ensembl annotates it as small nucleolar RNA, C/D box 123. Its record names the gene SNORD123. Lineage: Eukaryota; Metazoa; Chordata; Mammalia; Didelphimorphia; Didelphidae. The record is from Ensembl.
GGUGAAAAUGAUGAAUUCUGGGGAACUGAUUCAUGUGACUUGAAAAGGCCAUCCAUUUCCUGAUUCACC